UCACAUUUCAAGUUGAGAACCUUUUCAUUAUUGUUUUAACUGUAAAUAUGGGCAUUUUCAACCAAAUACCUAGUUUUUUAUAGCCAUUCCCUGACCUACAAAUG
This is a long non-coding RNA of Alosa sapidissima (American shad), 104 nucleotides long. RefSeq lists it as uncharacterized. NCBI's taxonomy places the organism in Eukaryota, Metazoa, Chordata, Actinopteri, Clupeiformes, Clupeidae. The transcript is spliced from 3 exons. The record is from RefSeq and is a predicted model, not a curated record.